GGAUUGUGGCUCAGCGGUAGAGUGCUCGCCUAGCACAUGCGAGGCGCUGGGCUCGAUCCUCAGCACCA
Molecule: transfer RNA, 68 nt
Filed under: Marmota monax (woodchuck)
Lineage: Eukaryota; Metazoa; Chordata; Mammalia; Rodentia; Sciuridae
Description: tRNA.Ala
Source: RNAcentral